RNAcentral lists this ribosomal RNA (216 nucleotides) under uncultured bacterium. Its description in RNAcentral is "partial 16S ribosomal RNA". It matches the Rfam family "Bacterial small subunit ribosomal RNA", at positions 118 to 351 of the family's 1533-position model. The record is from RNAcentral.
UGGGAACGUGCCCAAAGGUACGGAACAACUCCGGGAAACUGGAGCUAAUACCGUAUGUGCCCGAAAGGGGAGAGAUUCAUCGCCUUUGGAUCGGCCCGCGUCUGAUUAGCUAGUUGGCGGGGUAAUGGCCCACCAAGGCGACGAUCAGUAGCUGGUCUGAGAGGAUGACCAGCCACACUGGGACUGAGACACGGCCCAGACUCCUACGGGAGGCAG